GAAUCUUCCGCAAUGGACGAAAGUCUGACGGAGCAACGCCGCGUGAGUGAAGAAGGUUUUCGGAUCGUAAAACUCUGUUGUCGGAGAAGAACAAGUAGGAGAGUAACUGUUCCUACCUUGACGGUACACGACCAGCAAGCCACUGCUAACUACGUGCCAGCAGCCGCGGUCAUACGGAGGCGGCAAACGUUUUCCGGAUUUUUUGGGCGUAAAGCGAGCGCAGGGUGUUUCUUAAGUCUGAUGUGAAAGCCCACGGGUCAACCGUGGAAGGGCAUUGGAAACUGGGGAACUUGAAUGCAGAAGAGGAGAGUGGAAUUCCAUGUGUAGCGGUGAAAUGCGUAGAUAUAUGGAGGAACACCAGUGGCGAAGGCGACUCUCUGGUCUGUUAUUGACACUGAGGCUCGAAAGCGUGGGGAGCAAACA
This 423-nucleotide ribosomal RNA is filed under the name uncultured bacterium. RNAcentral describes it as "partial 16S ribosomal RNA". It matches the Rfam family "Bacterial small subunit ribosomal RNA", at positions 359 to 774 of the family's 1533-position model. The record is from RNAcentral.